UCCUACGGGAGGCAGCAGUGGGGAAUYUUGGACAANGGGCGCAAGCCUGAUCCAGCAAUGCCGCGUGCAGGAAGAAGGCCUUCGGGUUGUAAACUGCUUUUGUCAGGGAAGAAAUCUUCUGGGCUAAUACCCCGGGAGGAUGACGGUACUYGAAGAUAGACCCACCGGCUAAAUACGUGCCRGCWGCCUARGUAAUA
RNAcentral lists this ribosomal RNA (197 nucleotides) under uncultured Aquabacterium sp. RNAcentral's name for it is "partial 16S ribosomal RNA". It matches the Rfam family "Bacterial small subunit ribosomal RNA", at positions 337 to 525 of the family's 1533-position model. The record is from RNAcentral. Lineage: Bacteria; Pseudomonadati; Pseudomonadota; Betaproteobacteria; Burkholderiales; Sphaerotilaceae.